RNAcentral lists this transfer RNA (70 nucleotides) under Ictidomys tridecemlineatus (thirteen-lined ground squirrel). RNAcentral's name for it is "Spermophilus tridecemlineatus (thirteen-lined ground squirrel) tRNA". It matches the Rfam family "tRNA". From Rfam's summary of the family: Transfer RNA (tRNA) molecules are approximately 80 nucleotides in length. Their secondary structure includes four short double-helical elements and three loops (D, anti-codon, and T loops). Lineage: Eukaryota; Metazoa; Chordata; Mammalia; Rodentia; Sciuridae. The record is from Rfam by way of RNAcentral.
GGGGAUGUGGCUCACUUGGUAGAGCACUCACCUGGCAUGCGUGAGGCACUGAGUUCAAUCCUCAGUACCA